Callithrix jacchus (white-tufted-ear marmoset) is the source of this 94-nucleotide small nuclear RNA. NCBI's taxonomy places the organism in Eukaryota, Metazoa, Chordata, Mammalia, Primates, Cebidae. The record is from Ensembl.
GCGCUUGUUUCUAGAGCUCAUAUACUAAAUACAGAGAUUAGAAUGGCCCCUGCACAAGGAUGACAUACAAAUUCAUGAAGUGUUCUAGAUUUUU